This 497-nucleotide ribosomal RNA is filed under the name uncultured bacterium. RNAcentral's name for it is "partial 16S ribosomal RNA". It matches the Rfam family "Bacterial small subunit ribosomal RNA", at positions 28 to 507 of the family's 1533-position model. The record is from RNAcentral.
GAUGAACGCUGGCGGCGUGCCUAAUACAUGCAAGUCGAGCGAACAGACGAGGAGCUUGCUCCUCUGACGUUAGCGGCGGACGGGUGAGUAACACGUGGAUAACCUACCUAUAAGACUGAGAUAACUUCGGGAAACCGGAGCUAAUACCGGAUAAUAUAUUGAACCGCAUGGUUCAAUAGUGAAAGACGGUUUUGCUGUCACUUAUAGAUAGAUCCGCGCCGCAUUAGCUAGUUGGUAAGGUAACGGCUUACCAAGGCAACGAUGCGUAGCCGACCUGAGAGGGUGAUCGGCCACACUGGAACUGAGACACGGUCCAGACUCCUACGGGAGGCAGCAGUAGGGAAUCUUCCGCAAUGGGCGAAAGCCUGACGGAGCAACGCCGCGUGAGUGAUGAAGGUCUUCGGAUCGUAAAACUCUGUUAUUAGGGAAGAACAAAUGUGUAAGUAACUAUGCACGUCUUGACGGUACCUAAUCAGAAAGCCACGGCUAACUACGUG